ACGGUCUCUUCGGAGGCAGUGGCAGACGGGUGAGUAACGCGUGGGAACAUACCUUUCGGUACGGAACAACAGUUGGAAACGACUGCUAAUACCGUAUACGCCCUCAGGGGGAAAGAUUUAUCGCCGAGAGAUUGGCCCGCGUUGGAUUAGCUAGUUGGUGGGGUAAUGGCCUACCAAGGCGACGAUCCAUAGCUGGUCUGAGAGGAUGAUCAGCCACACUGGGACUGAGACACGGCCCAGACUCCUACGGGAGGCAGCAGUGGGGAAUAUUGGACAAUGGGCGCAAGCCUGAUCCAGCCAUGCCGCGUGAGUGAUGAAGGCCUUAGGGUUGUAAAGCUCUUUCGCCGGUGAAGAUAAUGACGGUAACCGGUAAAGAAGCCCCGGCUAACUUCGUGCCAGCAGCCGCGGUAAUACGAGGGGGGCUAGCGUUGUUCGGAAUUACUGGGCGUAAAGCGCACGUAGGCUGACUUUUAAGUCAGGGGUGAAAUCCCGGGGCUCAACCUCGGAACUGCCUUUGAUACUGGAAGUCUUGAGUCCGAGAGAGGUGAGUGGAACUCCGAGUGUAGAGGUGAAAUUCGUAGAUAUUCGGAAGAACACCAGUGGCGAAGGCGGCUCACUGGCUCGGUACUGACGCUGAGGUGCGAAAGCGUGGGGAGCAAAAAAGGAUUAAAUACCCCUGGUAGUCCCACGCCGUAAACGAUGGAAAGCUAGCUGGUCAGGUAGCAUGCUAUUUUGGGUGGCGCAGCUAACGCAUUAAGCUUUCCCGCCUGGGGGAGUACGGUCGCAAAAUUAAAACUUAAAGGAAUUGACGGGGGCCCGCAC
This 822-nucleotide ribosomal RNA is filed under the name uncultured Halomonas sp. RNAcentral describes it as "bacterial SSU rRNA". It matches the Rfam family "Bacterial small subunit ribosomal RNA", at positions 66 to 926 of the family's 1533-position model. The record is from RNAcentral. Lineage: Bacteria; Pseudomonadati; Pseudomonadota; Gammaproteobacteria; Oceanospirillales; Halomonadaceae.